AAUAUUGCGCAAUGGGGGGAACCCUGACGCAGCAACGCCGCGUGAGUGACGAAGGUUUUCGGAUCGUAAAGCUCUGUCAUUGGGGACGAAAAGAUGACGGUACCCAAGGAGGAAGACCCGGCUAACUACGUGCCAGCAGCCGCGGUAAUACGUAGGGGGCGAGCGUUGUCCGGAAUUACUGGGCGUAAAGGGUACGCAGGCGGCCUGAUAAGUCAGCUGUGAAAUACCACGGCUUAACCGUGGGGGUGCAGUUGAAACUGUUGGGCUUGAGUGCAGGAGAGGAAAGCGGAAUUCCUAGUGUAGCGGUGAAAUGCGUAGAGAUUAGGAGGAACACCAGUGGCGAAGGCGGCUUACUGGGCUUUUACUGACGCUGAGGCUCGAAAGCGUGGGGAGCAAACA
RNAcentral lists this ribosomal RNA (399 nucleotides) under uncultured bacterium. Its description in RNAcentral is "partial 16S ribosomal RNA". It matches the Rfam family "Bacterial small subunit ribosomal RNA", at positions 360 to 774 of the family's 1533-position model. The record is from RNAcentral.